Molecule: ribosomal RNA, 1487 nt
Filed under: metagenome
Description: bacterial LSU rRNA
Rfam family: Bacterial large subunit ribosomal RNA
Source: RNAcentral
UGCGAUGGGGGGACGGAGAAGGCUAGGUGUACCAGCGAUCGGUAGUGCUGGGGAAGGGAUGUAGGCAGGACCCUUAGGCAAAUCCGGGGGUUCAAUGUCGAGACCCGAGACCAUCCGUACUUGUACGGAGAAGUCACUGAUGCCAUGCUUCCAAGAAAAGCCUCUAAGCUUCAGAUGUAAAGGGAUCGUACCCGAAACCGACACAGGUGUCAGGUCGAGAAGACCAAGGCGCAUGAGAGAACUCUGGUGAAGGAACUAGGCAAAAUAGUACCGUAACUUCGGGAGAAGGUACGCUGUUGAGGGUUAAGUAUUUACUACGUCAGCCCUUGGCAGCCUCAGUAACCAGGCCGCUGCAACUGUUUAUUAAAAACACAGCACUCUGCAAACACGAAAGUGGACGUAUAGGGUGUGAUGCCUGCCCGGUGCCGGAAGGUUAAUUGAUGGGGUUAGCGAAAGCGAAGCUCUUGAUCGAAGCCCCGGUAAACGGCGGCCGUAACAAUAACGGUCCUAAGGUAGCGAAAUUCCUUGUCGGGUAAGUUCCGACCUGCACGAAUGGCAUAAUGAUGGCGGCGCUGUCUCCACCAGAGACUCAGUGAAAUCGAAAUCGCGGUGAAGAUGCCGUGUACCCGUGGCUAGACGGAAAGACCCCGUGAACCUUUACUGCAGCUUUGCACUGGACUUUGACCUUACUUGUGUAGGAUAGCUGGGAGGCUUUGAAGCGCGGACGCCAGUUCGCGUGGAGCCAAUCUUGAAAUACCAGCCUGGUAAUGUCGAGGUUCUAACCAAGGUCCGUCAUCCGGAUCUGGGACAGUGUAUGGUGGGUAGUUUGACUGGGGCGGUCUCCUCCUAAAGAGUAACGGAGGAGUACGAAGGUGCGCUCAGCGUGGUCGGAAAUCACGCAAUGAGUAUAAAGGCAAAAGCGCGCUUAACUGCGAGGCCGACAUGCCGAGCAGGUACGAAAGUAGGUCUUAGUGAUCCGGUGGUUCUGUAUGGAAGGGCCAUCGCUCAACGGAUAAAAGGUACUCUGGGGAUAACAGGCUGAUACCGCCCAAGAGUUCAUAUCGACGGCGGUGUUUGGCACCUCGAUGUCGGCUCAUCUCAUCCUGGGGCUGAAGCAGGUCCCAAGGGUAUGGCUGUUCGCCAUUUAAAGAGGUACGCGAGCUGGGUUUAGAACGUCGUGAGACAGUUCGGUCCCCAUCUACCAUGGGCGUUGGAGACUUGAGAGGAUCUGCUUCUAGUACGAGAGGACCGAAGUGGACAUACCUCUGGUGUUCCGGUUGUCACGCCAGUGGCACUGCCGGGUAGCUAUGUAUGGAAGGGAUAACCGCUGAAAGCAUCUAAGCGGGAAGCCCACCUCAAGAUAAGGUCUCCCUGGGAACUUGAUUCCCCUGAAGAGCCGUUGGAGACUACGACGUUGAUAGGUUCGGUGUGGAAGCGCGGCGACGCGUGUAGCUAACGAAUACUAAUUGCUCGUGAGGCUUGACUAC